GCAGUCGAGCGGAGUGAUGGUGCUUGCACUAUCACUUAGCGGCGGACGGGUGAGUAAUGCUUAGGAAUCUGCCUAUUAGUGGGGGACAACAUUUCGAAAGGAAUGCUAAUACCGCAUACGUCCUACGGGAGAAAGCAGGGGAUCUUCGGACCUUGCGCUAAUAGAUGAGCCUAAGUCGGAUUAGCUAGUUGGUGGGGUAAAGGCCUACCAAGGCGACGAUCUGUAGCGGGUCUGAGAGGAUGAUCCGCCACACUGGGACUGAGACACGGCCCAGACUCCUACGGGAGGCAGCAGUGGGGAAUAUUGGACAAUGGGCGCAAGCCUGAUCCAGCCAUGCCGCGUGUGUGAAGAAGGCCUUAUGGUUGUAAAGCACUUUAAGCGAGGAGGAGGCUACUGAAGUUAAUACCUUCAGAUAGUGGACGUUACUCGCAGAAUAAGCACCGGCUAACUCUGUGCCAGCAGCCGCGGUAAUACAGAGGGUGCAAGCGUUAAUCGGAUUUACUGGGCGUAAAGCGCGCGUAGGCGGCUAAUUAAGUCAAAUGUGAAAUCCCCGAGCUUAACUUGGGAAUUGCAUUCGAUACUGGUUAGCUAGAGUGUGGGAGAGGAUGGUAGAAUUCCAGGUGUAGCGGUGAAAUGCGUAGAGAUCUGGAGGAAUACCGAUGGCGAAGGCAGCCAUCUGGCCUAACACUGACGCUGAGGUGCGAAAGCAUGGGGAGCAAACAGGAUUAGAUACCCUGGUAGUCCAUGCCGUAAACGAUGUCUACUAGCCGUUGGGGCCUUUGAGGCUUUAGUGGCGCAGCUAACGCGAUAAGUAGACCGCCUGGGGAGUACGGUCGCAAGACUAAAACUCAAAUGAAUUGACGGGGGCCCGCACAAGCGGUGGAGCAUGUGGUUUAAUUCGAUGCAACGCGAAGAACCUUACCUGGCCUUGACAUAGUAAGAACUUUCCAGAGAUGGAUUGGUGCCUUCGGGAACUUACAUACAGGUGCUGCAUGGCUGUCGUCAGCUCGUGUCGUGAAAUGUUGGGUUAAGUCCCGCAACGAGGGCAACCCUUUUCCUUAUUUGCCAGCGAGUAAUGUCGGGAACUUUAAGGAUACUGCCAGUGACAAACUGGAGGAAGGCGGGGACGACGUCAAGUCAUCAUGGCCCUUACGGCCAGGGCUACACACGUGCUACAAUGGUCGGUACAAAGGGUUGCUACCUAGCGAUAGGAUGCUAAUCUCAAAAAGCCGAUCGUAGUCCGGAUUGGAGUCUGCAACUCGACUCCAUGAAGUCGGAAUCGCUAGUAAUCGCGGAUCAGAAUGCCGCGGUGAAUACGUUCCCGGGCCUUGUACACACCGCCCGUCACACCAUGGGAGUUUGUUGCACCAGAAGUAGGUAGUCUAACCGCAAGGAGGACGCUUACCACGGUGUGGCCGAUGACUGGGGUGAAGUCGUAACAAGGUAGCCGUAGGGGAACCUGCGGCUGGUCACCCUCCC
This 1479-nucleotide ribosomal RNA is filed under the name Acinetobacter sp. RNAcentral describes it as "bacterial SSU rRNA". It matches the Rfam family "Bacterial small subunit ribosomal RNA". The record is from RNAcentral. Lineage: Bacteria; Pseudomonadati; Pseudomonadota; Gammaproteobacteria; Moraxellales; Moraxellaceae.